This 107-nucleotide small nuclear RNA is filed under the name Salvator merianae (Argentine black and white tegu). Lineage: Eukaryota; Metazoa; Chordata; Lepidosauria; Squamata; Teiidae. The record is from RNAcentral.
GUGCUCGCUUCGGCAGCACAUAUACUAAAAUUGGAACGAUACAGAGAAGAUUAGCAUGGCCCCUGNGCAAGUUAAAGUAAUAAAUAAAUAAAUAAAUAAAUAAUGGU